CCGGCUGGCGCUGGUCCCCGCAGCUCAGCGGACUCAGUAGCGACCCGGGGCGCUCCGCCUGCUCCCGGGCUGCAUGCCUGCGAGCGCCUGGAGGAGCGAGCCUCAGGAGCGGCCGGCCGGCCAGUGCUUCCCGGGCGCAGGGCUCGGGCGGCGUAGCUUGCACUUCCGAGACGCCUGCAGAGUAGGGCGGCCCGGGCUAACCUGCUGCCUCGCCCGGCCUGUCGCCGCCACCGCCACCGCUGAGCGCGGCGUCGCGAGAAAAGGAAACAAAAGCACAGAGAGGUUAACACUUUAUCCAAAUGCCCCCAGCUAUCAAGAGUGAGCCUACAGCUUGAAGAUGAUCCUAAGCCUGUGAUGUCUCCUGCCUGGAGGCUUUGUGUGCACACCCAGAACAACUGCUCUCUAUCCCAUGGAGGGAUGUGCAUAACGUGAUCAUUUUCACCGCUGUAAUGAUGCCAGGGGACAGGGGAUAUGACAUUUAGUAGCCAAGAGACAAAGAUGCCAGCUGUCUCAAUGCAUAGACCCC
This 526-nucleotide long non-coding RNA is filed under the name Mus caroli (Ryukyu mouse). Its description in RNAcentral is "RIKEN cDNA A730056A06 gene (MGP_CAROLIEiJ_G0004031.1)". The record is from RNAcentral. Lineage: Eukaryota; Metazoa; Chordata; Mammalia; Rodentia; Muridae.